This is a long non-coding RNA of Cebus imitator (Panamanian white-faced capuchin), 426 nucleotides long. RefSeq lists it as uncharacterized. The record is from RefSeq and is a predicted model, not a curated record. Lineage: Eukaryota; Metazoa; Chordata; Mammalia; Primates; Cebidae. The transcript is spliced from 3 exons.
AAGGAAUGUAGAUGCAAGAGGUGUUCCUGGAAUUCCAUGGCUCAUUAAUGAACAGAAGCUUUUUGAAUGGGCAAAUGAAGUCAGAAUUGAUCCAAAUAAUCCAGAAUAUUCUGAUUUAAUGGAAUUUGUUAUGUACAUGAGCCUUAAGGGGCAGGAUAUUCCAAAGUAUUUCCGGCUUGAACAGUUGCAAGAUGAGUUUAACUUUGUUUCUGAAGAGGAAAUGGAAAAGAGUAAACGUUUCCAGCUAUUGCAACUUAGAAAUGCAGGUCAAUUAGAUAAUUUCCUUCUACAGCAAAUGCCCCUCCAUGAUAUAGAGAUUCCAGAUUUAGUCUUCCAGGAGUAUGAAAGUCAGAAAGAGAAGGAGGUAUCCAUUUCAGAUGUAAAUUCUAUUAUAGCACAAAGGAUGAAUUCUGCCAAUUUUCUGAA